UCUACGGGAGGCAGCAGUGAGGAAUAUUGGUCAAUGGGCGGAAGCCUGAACCAGCCAAGUAGCGUGCAGGAUGACGGCCCUACGGGUUGUAAACUGCUUUUAUACGGGAAUAACGCGCCUUACGUGUAGGGCUUUGCUUGUACCGUCUGAAUAAGGACCGGCUAAUUCCGUGCCCGCAGCCGCGGUAAUACGGAAGGUCCGGGCGUUAUCCGGAUUUAUUGGGUUUAAAGGGCGCGUAGGCCGCAUGUCAAGCGUGCUGUGAAAUGUCCGGGCUCAACCCGGGCCUUGCAGCGCGAACUGGCGUGCGUGAGUCCGCGGAAAGCAGGCGGAAUUCGUCGUGUAGCGGUGAAAUGCUUAGAUAUGACGAAGAACCCCGAUUGCGAAGGCAGCUUGCUGCAGCGGAACUGACGCUGAUGCUCGAAAGCGCGGGUAUCGAACAGGAUUAGAUACCCGUGUAGUC
Molecule: ribosomal RNA, 460 nt
Filed under: uncultured bacterium
Lineage: Bacteria
Description: partial 16S ribosomal RNA
Rfam family: Bacterial small subunit ribosomal RNA
Source: RNAcentral